GCAUCAUUGGUCUAGUGGUAGAAUCCAUCGUUGCCAUGACUUCGAGAGUCACCGAAUCUCGAUGGGGCCCGUGUUCGAUUCACGGAUGAUGCA
RNAcentral lists this transfer RNA (93 nucleotides) under Blastomyces percursus. RNAcentral describes it as "tRNA-Gly". Lineage: Eukaryota; Fungi; Ascomycota; Eurotiomycetes; Onygenales; Ajellomycetaceae. The record is from RNAcentral.